Molecule: transfer RNA, 74 nt
Organism: Treponema maltophilum ATCC 51939
Lineage: Bacteria; Pseudomonadati; Spirochaetota; Spirochaetia; Treponematales; Treponemataceae
Rfam family: tRNA
About the family: Transfer RNA (tRNA) molecules are approximately 80 nucleotides in length. Their secondary structure includes four short double-helical elements and three loops (D, anti-codon, and T loops).
Source: Rfam
GGGGGUGUAGCUCAUCUGGCUAGAGCGAUUGCAUGGCAUGCAAUAGGUAAGGGGUUCAAGUCCCCUCAUCUCCA